CUCUAGUGAUCCUCCUGCCUCAGCCUCCCAAAUAGCUGGGACCACAGGUCCGUACCCCCUUGCCAGGCUAAUUUUAUUUAUUCUUUUAUAGAGAUGAGGUCUUGCUAUGUUGCUCAGGCUGGCCUUGAACUCCUGGUCUCAAGUGAUCCUCCUGCUUUAGCCUCCCAAAGUGCUGAGAUGAUAGUUGUGAGUCACUGUGCCUGGUCACAUAUUUCUUUUUAAAUUAAAUUAAAUUUUUUUUUUUUGAGACGGAGUCUCACUCUGUUGCCCAGGCUGGAGUGCAGUGGCGCCAUCUCAGCUCACUGCAAGCUCCGCCUCCUGGGUUCACGCCAUUCUCCUGCCUCAGCCUCCCGAGUAGCUGGGGAACGCCUUUGCACAUAUAAUGGUGUUACCUCUCUCUCCUCCUCCUUCCCCCCAAUCCCAUGGGACAUUCUUCUUGUCCAUUUGGGGUGGGGCUGACAAGUGGUGGAAAGGCACCAUUAGCUGAGGCCCCCUCUUUCCAGGCAUGGCUCUACCC
Molecule: long non-coding RNA, 517 nt
Filed under: Homo sapiens (human)
Lineage: Eukaryota; Metazoa; Chordata; Mammalia; Primates; Hominidae
Description: non-protein coding LINC01517:31
Source: RNAcentral